This 28-nucleotide non-coding RNA is filed under the name Mus musculus (house mouse). The record is from RNAcentral. Lineage: Eukaryota; Metazoa; Chordata; Mammalia; Rodentia; Muridae.
UGCCAUGAAAAUGUAGGUGUCUAACCAG